GUCGUCGUGAGGCGAGGUGGGGAGGAAGCCCGAGGCGAAACCCUGCACCGAGGAACGCGAACCGCGUAUGAGGCAUGCCAGCUGGGGUGAGCCUGCAUGCUACGGCGAAGCCCGUCACUGCCAAGACGGCUGGUGUGUAAACGCGGCGGUUGCAGGGGGAAAGUGAUCGUU
This 171-nucleotide non-coding RNA is filed under the name Nonomuraea polychroma. The record is from RNAcentral. Lineage: Bacteria; Bacillati; Actinomycetota; Actinomycetes; Streptosporangiales; Streptosporangiaceae.